AGUGUUGUAACGUACUGACUUGGCCCAAAACAAUAAACCCACUGCUCAAGUCCUCUGGAUUGAGGCGCCAUGGAGGGUGAAAGCCCCGUGUGAAGCAGUGUUUUGGUUGUUGUUACAGGGUCAAGCUCAAAGAGUCGAGUUGUUUGGGAUUGCAACUUAAAGUUGGUGGUAAGCUCCACCUAAGGCUAAAUAUAGACACGAAACCGAUAGCGAACAAGUACCGUGAGGGAAAGUUGAAAAGCACUUUGAAAAGAGAGUCAAAAGUACGUGAAACCGUUAACGGGGAAGCAGAAGGGCGUGUCGAGACGCGUAGUUUUUGGUCAUGCAAAUGAUUGCAAAUUAUGCGUGCGUCAGAUCACCCGGUCGCUGAUCAAUCUGGUUUUUUUGCUGCAAACUUUACCAAGCAGCAGGCAACUGCCCGUCUGGUAAAGUUUGCUGAAAAUUAAAUACAUGCCAAGAUUUUGAGAUUUGAGGCUGGGUAAAAGUGAUGCCAGGCGUUUGGUUCCUUAUAAGAGGGAGAUUUAGCAAGAGCCAGUCUGGGGGCAGCAGCGUUACCGCCGCCGUUUCAAGACUACUUUUGUUAAAUGACUAACGCCAGUAUCUGACGAGAUACCCAACUUUCUGACCCGUCUUGAAACACGGACCAAGGAGGCAGAAGCCACAGCGAGUCAUAGGGUGGAAAACCCGCAGGCAAAGUGAAAGCAACAGGUACGAUGGAGGUGUGUUUGUUGGUUGCUGGUGUCAAAUCCAAGCAGCCAACAUCUUCCCGCAUUACCGGCCGUUUGGAGUGUAAAAAUCUAAAUGAGUUUGAGCUGUGGCUGCUGGACCCGAAAGAUGGUGAACUAUGCGUGAGCAGGGUGAAGCCAGAGGAAACUCUGGUGGAGGCUCGAAGCGAUUCUGACGUGCAAAUCGAUCGUUAGACUUGCGUAUAGGGGCGAUAGACUAAUCGAACCAUCUAGUAGCUGGUUCCCUUUGAAAUAUCCCUCAGGAUCGCUGAGACUAUAAAAUAAACACAAAAAGGUAGUUUCACCGGGUAGAGCUAAUGAUUAGAGGAAUCGGGGAAAGAUUACACUCGACCUAUUCUCAAACUAUCAAUCGGUGAUAGGCCUGUCAUUUACACUUAACUGAAUGAUGGUCGUGAAUACCAAGUCUCAAGUGGGCCAUUUUUGGUAAGCAGAAUUGGCGAUGCGGGAUGAACCGAAAGUUAAGCUAAGGUGCCAAAGAGUACGUCAACAGACACCACAAAAGGAGUCGGUCGAUAUAGACAGCAGGACGGUGGCCCUGAAAGUAGGAAUCCGCUAAGGAGUGUCUAACAACUCACCUGCCGAAUCGACGGGCCCUGAAAAUGGAUGGCGCUAAAGCGUACCACCGAUGCUUGACCGUCACGGCAGAAAAAAUGUGACCGUGCCGGGUAAAAGGGCGCGGCGGUAGCAAUAAAGUAUACAGCGUGAGCGUAUAUGGAGCUGCCGUCGGUGUAGAUCUUGGUGAUAGUAGCAACAAAAUAAAAGUGAGAACCUUUUAGGCCGAAGUGGAGAAGGGUUCCACGUUAACAGCAAUUGGACGUGGGUUAGUCGGUCCUAAGCCAUCACCUAACGGUUUGUAAUGGCGGACUAUUAAGGCUGCUAGUUGCGACGAAGCGCUGACGUUUGCCAGCGCUUCGCCAAUGCUGCUAGUGGUUAAUGUCCGAGUGUGGCGAAAGGGAAUCCGGUUAAUAUUCCGGAACCAGAUGGGGAAAUGCUGCUUUUCGCCAACGAGACUGGUUAGCAAUAAUUAUGUUUCGUUGUGUCGGAUUGCAGUGUAGCGGUAACGCAAACAAUCUCGGAGACGUCGAUAUUUGUGGCAGGGAGAGUUUUCUUUUCUGUAUAACAGGCAAUUUAAAAAGUGGACCUUGGAAUCGAGUCAUUCGGAGAAAAGGUCAAACGCCUGGAAGAGCAUUGCAGUUAAAGCAAUGUCUGCUCAACAAGUACCGGCCCUUGAAAAUCCGAGGGAGUGAUUGAAUUUCCUAUCUGUCCGUACCGAAACCGCAUCUGGUCUCCUAGGUGAGCAGCCUCUGGCACUGGAAGAAUGUGGGUAAGGGAAGUCGGCAAAAUAGAUCCGUAACCUCGGGAAAAGGAUUGGCUCUAAGGACCGGGUGGAUCGAGCUAGUAUAAUCUUGACGGACGAACGGGAAACGGUCACCAUGAUCCAUUUAUUUGGGUCUUGGUGAUUGCGAACCGAUUGAAAGCCUUGGUUUGCCUGUGUGAUGGUGGAUGCAUGAGUUCGCUUGUGUACGCUGCUUUCUUUACGUGAAACGAGAAUCGGUCAGCUUAGAACUGUUACUAACAUGGGGAAUCCGACUGUUUAAUUAAAACAAAGCAUUGCGAUGGCCGUAACCGGUGUUGACGCAAUGUGAAUUCUGCCCAGUGCUCUGAAUGUCAAAGUGCGGAGACGCAACCAAGCACGGGUAAACGGCGGGAGUAACUAUGACUCUCUCAAGAUAGCCAAAUGCCUCGUCAUCUAAUUAGUGGCGCGCAUGAAUGGAUCAACGAGAUUCCCACUGUCCCUACCUACCAUCCAGCGAAAUCACAGUCAAGGGAACGGGCUUGACUGAGACAGCGGGGAAAGAAGACCCUGUUGAGCUUGACUCUAGUUUGAUUUUGUGAGAAGACAUAAGGGGUGUAGAAUAAGUGGGAGGUGGAAUUAAAGUAACAACGUUAAUGGCUCUUUUUGGGGCUGUUAGCGUUGUUGCUCCGCCGACGGUGAAAUACCACUACCUUUAUCGUUUUCACACUUAUUCGGUUAUAAGGGAUAGGCGUUUAUGGUAUAGGUCCAAAGCCAUGCCGUAAACGCUGAUUUUGUUGUGACAAGACACGAAUAAUUUUGUUGUGUUGACCCGUAUUGCUGUUGGCUGCUGUUGUGGGGCGCUGCAGCAAUGUAGUGUUUUGCAGCGGUGGUCUGCAGCCCAUCCGAUGACAGAAUCAGAUGGGGAGUUUGACUGGGGCGGUACAUCCUUUAAAAUGCAACGAGGAUGUCCUAAGGCGAGCUCAUCGUGGACAGAAACCACGAGUAGAGCAAAAGGGCAAAAGCUCGCUUGAUUCCGAUUUUCAGUACGAAUACGAACCGCGAAAGCGUGGCCUAUCGAUCCUCUAAUAAUAAUUCCAGAGCUUGGAGUUAGAGGUGUCAGAAAAGUUACCACAGGGAUAACUGGCUUGUGGCGGCCAAGCGUUCAUAGCGACGUCGCUUUUUGAUCCUUCGAUGUCGGCUCUUCCUAACAUUGGGUAGCAGCAUGCCCAAAGUGUUGGAUUGUUCACCCACCAACAGGGAACGUGAG
Molecule: ribosomal RNA, 3310 nt
Filed under: Parvicapsula curvatura
Lineage: Eukaryota; Metazoa; Cnidaria; Myxozoa; Bivalvulida; Parvicapsulidae
Description: eukaryotic LSU rRNA
Rfam family: Eukaryotic large subunit ribosomal RNA
Source: RNAcentral